This 475-nucleotide ribosomal RNA is filed under the name uncultured organism. RNAcentral's name for it is "partial 16S ribosomal RNA". It matches the Rfam family "Bacterial small subunit ribosomal RNA", at positions 335 to 801 of the family's 1533-position model. The record is from RNAcentral.
ACUCCUGCGGGAGGCAGCAGUGGGGAAUUUUGGACAAUGGGCGAAAGCCUGAUCCAGCAAUGCCGCGUGAGUGAAGAAGGCCUUCGGGUUGUAAAGCUCUUUUGUCAGGGAAGAAACGGUGAGAGCUAAUAUCUCUUGCUAAUGACGGUACCUGAAGAAUAAGCACCGGCUAACUACGUGCCAGCAGCCGCGGUAAUACGUAGGGUGCAAGCGUUAAUCGGAAUUACUGGGCGUAAAGCGUGCGCAGGCGGUUUUGUAAGUCUGAUGUGAAAUCCCCGGGCUCAACCUGGGAAUUGCAUUGGGGACUGCAAGGCUAGGAUCUGGCAGAGGGGGGUAGAAUUCCACGUGUAGCAGUGAAAUGCGUAGAUAUGUGGAGGAACACCGAUGGCGAAGGCAGCCCCCUGGGUCAAGAUUGACGCUCAUGCACGAAAGCGUGGGGAGCAAACAGGAUUAGAUACCCGGGUAGUCCCAUGAU